RNAcentral lists this ribosomal RNA (492 nucleotides) under uncultured bacterium. RNAcentral describes it as "partial 16S ribosomal RNA". It matches the Rfam family "Bacterial small subunit ribosomal RNA", at positions 29 to 507 of the family's 1533-position model. The record is from RNAcentral.
AGUGAACGCUGGCGGUAUGCCUAACACAUGCAAGUCGAACGGGAGCUCAGUAUUAGCUUGCUCUUACGGGUGGCGAGUGGCGGACGGGUGAGGAAUACAGCGGAAUCUACUUUUUCGAGGGGGGUAACGAAGCGAAACGUACGCUAAUACCGCAUACGACCUGCGGGUGAAGGCAGUGGAGCUUCGUACCUUGCGCGGUGGAGUGAUACGGUGCCGGAUCAGCGAGUUGGCGGGGGAAAGGGCCACUAAGGCGACGAUCCGUAGCUGGCCUGCGGGGAUGAUAGGCCACACUGGAAGGGAGAGACGGUCCACACUGCUACGGAGAGCCGCAGUGGGGAAUAUUGGGCAAUAGGCGCAAGCAUGAUCCAGCAAUGCCGCAUGGGUUAAGAAAGCCUUGCGGUUGGAAAGUACUUUUGUUGGGAAAGAAAAGCAGCAGGUUAAUACGCCGAUGUUAUGACGGUACCCAAAGAAUAAGCACCGGCUAACUUCGUG